Molecule: RNA transcript, 1253 nt
Organism: Gavialis gangeticus (Gharial)
Lineage: Eukaryota; Metazoa; Chordata; Crocodylia; Gavialidae
Gene: SMIM12
Gene name: small integral membrane protein 12
Exons: 3
Source: RefSeq, a predicted model, not a curated record
GGGGAUAGCCGUGCCCCCCCUUCCCCCCCUCCGCCCAGGCUGGGGAGGAGCGACGCUGGGCACACGGCUCCUGCGGGAGGCGGAGCGAUUUGCGCUUAUUUAAUCUGAAGGGGAGAAGAUUUGGGGUGGGGGGUUGAUAGCAGCCUUCAGCUCCCUGCAGGGCUUGAAAGAGGAGGGCUGCUCUCAGUGGCGGCAGGUGACAGAAGGAGCAAUGGGCUCAUUGUAGGAUAUUAGGAAGAGUUUUUAGGCGACCCAUAGAGGCGGUGGGAUCUCUCUCCGUGGAGGCUUUUAAGACCCACCUAAACAAAGCCCUUGGCUGGGAUGAUGUAGAUGGGGCUGGUCCUGCUCUGUGCAGGGGGGUGCGCUAGAUGCGAGCUCCCAAGGUCCCUUCCCACCCGCGUCUUCUGUGUUGCAUGUAGGAGACACCACGGCGAGGGGGAGAAGGGGCCCGGUUGGUUUCUGUGUCUGCUUCGUCUGGCCCUGGGUGCGGGGCUGCUGCACGGAGAGCCUGGCUGCAAGGGCCAGGCUGAAAUUUGCCCUCCGGUCAAGGGCGCAGCGGGUGGGGGUGGCCGGGAAGUGACGCUGCCCCCAGUGGAUGUCCUUGGCGGAGGAACGUGACUCAGCUGUCUCCCUCCUCCAGGGCUUGUCACCAGGCUCGGGGCUUUGGGGUGGCUCGGGGGAGGAUGGCUGCAUGCAAGCCUGGCCUGGGGGUUCGAGCUCAUCUUGUGUCCUGCCCCAAACAUCCUGAGCGUGUCUGGGCCUCACUGUUUGGCUGAAAGCCGUGGUGCUGUGAGGGGAUGCCCUGAAGAUUGUGGCCUAGUUGGGUAUCGAGGGGCUUUCCCAGGAGCUGCUUUUCCCACCCCCUCCUCACAACCAGCAGCUGCUUUGAACAGUCCAGGAUUGAGGCUUUGAGCCUUUUGCCUGUCAUCCCCAGGCUCCCUGUAUGCAGAAAUGCAGCUGCGUCUGGAGAGGGAGGUCAUUCCCUUCUGGUCUGCACACAAUCUCUGCUCAACAGCUGGGACACGGGACGUUUUACUCCAAGGCCGGUGGACCCCCAUUGCCCUUGCAGAGGGCCUGUAAUAGCCACACCACAUGGAUCCAGCCUCACAACUCAAGGAUCUCACUCCCCCAGCAGAAGAGACGCCGCUCAGUUUCUCUGCCUAGGAGGAUCUGCCUUGACUGCUGGCUUAGUUGGCAGAAGUGCUGAAGCCUGCAUCUCCCGCUGAAAUUAAAGGGUAUGCAUGUGGAAAAUG